This 435-nucleotide ribosomal RNA is filed under the name uncultured bacterium. RNAcentral describes it as "partial 16S ribosomal RNA". It matches the Rfam family "Bacterial small subunit ribosomal RNA", at positions 29 to 507 of the family's 1533-position model. The record is from RNAcentral.
AACGAACGCUGGCGGCAGGCUUAACACAUGCAAGUCGAACGCAUGCCUUCGGGCAUGAGUGGCAGACGGGUGAGUAACGCGUGGGAACCUACCCCUUGGUACGGGAUAGCUCCGGGAAACUGGAGAUAAUACCGUAUGUGUCCUGAGGGACAAAGAUUCAUCGCCAAGGGAUGGGCCCGCGUCGGAUUAGCUAGUUGGUGGGGUAACGGCCUACCAAGGCGACGAUCCGUAGCUGGUCUAAGAGGAUGAUCAGCCACAUUGGGAAUGAGACACGGCCCAAACUCCUGCGGGAGGCAGCAGUGGGGAAUAUUGGACAAUGGGCGCAAGCCUGAACCAGCCAUGCCGCGUGAGUGAUGAAGGCCCUAGGGUUGUAAAGCUCUUUCACCGGUGACGAUAAUGACGGUAACCGGAGAAGAAGCCCCGGCUAACUUCGUG